This 440-nucleotide ribosomal RNA is filed under the name uncultured bacterium. RNAcentral's name for it is "partial 16S ribosomal RNA". It matches the Rfam family "Bacterial small subunit ribosomal RNA", at positions 338 to 795 of the family's 1533-position model. The record is from RNAcentral.
CCUACGGGGGGCAGCAGUGGGGAAUAUUGCACAAUGGGCGCAAGCCUGAUGCAGCGACGCCGCGUGAGCGAUGAAGGCCUUCGGGUCGUAAAGCUCUGUCCUAAGGGAAGAAUAAUGACGGUACCUUAGGAGGAAGCCCCGGCUAACUACGUGCCAGCAGCCGCGGUAAUACGUAGGGGGCGAGCGUUAUCCGGAAUCACUGGGCGUAAAGGGUGCGUAGGCGGCCCUGCAAGUCAGGAGUUAAAUCCCUCGGCUCAACCGAGGUCAGCUCUUGAAACUGUAGGGCUUGGGGGCAGGGGGGGAGGGCGGAAUUCCCAAGGUUGGGGUGAAAUGGGUAGGUAAUAGGGGGAACACCCGUGGCGAAGGGGGCCCUUUUGAAUUCAAAUGACGCUGGAGCACGAAAGCGUGGGGAGCGAACAGGAUUAGAUACCCCAGUAGUC